GUGGUGGAAGCCAGUUGGCGUUGGCCUCACAGUGAGAGUCCAGGAAGGUGAUGACUUCUCCUUUAGCAGCACCGGCUCCCAGCAGGCGAGUCCUGAUCAGCCCCUCCCUCUUCUUGGUCCUCAUGAUGCGAACUUUGGGCAUACGCAUCAUGUAUUCCUCCAACGGCAACUUCAGGUGCUCUUUGUCUCUGAAGUCGUUGA
Long non-coding RNA from Notothenia coriiceps (black rockcod), 201 nucleotides. RefSeq lists it as uncharacterized. NCBI's taxonomy places the organism in Eukaryota, Metazoa, Chordata, Actinopteri, Perciformes, Nototheniidae. The record is from RefSeq and is a predicted model, not a curated record. The transcript has 3 exons.